RNAcentral lists this ribosomal RNA (245 nucleotides) under uncultured bacterium. RNAcentral's name for it is "partial 16S ribosomal RNA". It matches the Rfam family "Bacterial small subunit ribosomal RNA", at positions 524 to 768 of the family's 1533-position model. The record is from RNAcentral.
UACGUAGGGGGCCAGCGUUGUCCGGAUUUACUGGGCGUAAAGAGCGCGUAGGCGGUUUGGUCAGCGGAGGGUGAAAUCCCGGGGCUCAACUCCGGGGCUGCUCUCCGAACUGCCAGACUAGAGUACGGGAGAGGAUAGUGGAAUUCCUGGUGUAGCGGUGGAAUGCGUAAAUAUCAGGAGGAACACCCGUGGCGAAGGCUGCUAUCUGGAACGUUACUGACGCUGAGGCGCGAAAGCCAGGGGAG